GAGUAUUCUGGCAACAAAGGAGCCAGCAGACAAACCGCUUCUCUUCCACAGACCACCUACUGCCAGACCUCAACGCCUCACAAAACUCUCACCCACCUACUGCUUUUAGCUCACAUUCCAGGAAUUCAGAUGAAGUGAAGUGCUCUCAUGGGGACCAGGCAUGGUUAUUCCAGUCCACUGCCCUGCAAGCCUCAAGGGAAGCCAACUGCCCUUCAGCAAGUCACACCUGCCUUGGUGGAGGCCUUGAUUGGAAGUGCCACACGCUACAUGUCCAGUCCUGAGCGGGAGAAUCGGUGUAGGGACGUUGUGGGGAUGCCGGCUGUGGCCAGAUCAGGUCCAGCUACAGAAGAAUGAAGACUCCACCUGAGGGCUGGAAAAACAAAACCUCAAGUGUGAGGCAGCCAACCUGUUACCUCGAGGGACUGUCCCGCAGCACAGCGGGGCCAUGGGAACAGCAGCAGACACCCCGGCCUCCUCGCUACCUGUAUCAACUAUGGCCUGAGUAUGAUAGACUUAUCCAUGGUUUAAACAGAAUAUAUUGUUUUCAACUUUGAAAAUAAGAAUAUGGAAAUCCAGAUGCAGAAAUGUGAGAAGAAAAGAGAGUAAACAGAGUGGAAGGUCAGGUGACCUUGCCUGUCAUGAAUAUGAAGGUCAAGGUGUGUGAAUUGUGAAAUUUCCAAGAGAACCUCACUGAAGCAAAGAAUGGAGAAAGAAUCGCAUUUGGCCCUGGGAGCGUGCAGGGGUGAAUGGUGCAGGAGCUAAAUCUUUAUCAUACCCAGAAAUCAACAGCCACUAUUUGAAAUCAUCUAAAUUCGUGCUGCUAACCUUCAGUGUACACACAAAUCACCUGGGGACCUUAUUAAAAGCUAGUUUCUGAUUCACUAAA
Long non-coding RNA from Pan troglodytes (chimpanzee), 886 nucleotides. RefSeq lists it as uncharacterized. The transcript is spliced from 2 exons. The record is from RefSeq and is a predicted model, not a curated record. Lineage: Eukaryota; Metazoa; Chordata; Mammalia; Primates; Hominidae.